Bolinopsis microptera is the source of this 1204-nucleotide long non-coding RNA. RefSeq lists it as uncharacterized. Lineage: Eukaryota; Metazoa; Ctenophora; Tentaculata; Lobata; Bolinopsidae. The record is from RefSeq and is a predicted model, not a curated record. The transcript is spliced from 2 exons.
ACGAUGCUUUAAUUCCGUUCAUAGAAAAGAGAUUUUCGUAUUAAGAACUUUGAUAGUUAAUUAGCUAAUAGUUAGACUGUAUUAAUUCUAUCGGACGUUUUGUACAAGUAUUAUAUCUCUCAGAUCUCACGCUCAGCGUGGAAGGCAGUCAUUUUAGCCACUAGCCUGUUUUACAGCGGAUGUUUUUCCCGCGUUAACAGAGAUUUAAUCCACUUGUACCACGUGACUCGCCGAAUAUGGAAUAAUCGUUAACUGCUUUUUUAGUUAUCUGCUUUUAUGACAGUGGACAUGACACGUAUUAAAUUAGAAAUAUUUCGGAUUGAGCCGCGCAAUUUUUCUCAAAACUCAUAGAAAGUAUUUUUAGCGCGCACGACACGUUUUUGUGCAGCGUGCGGGACUAGAAUAUUUUUAACUUAACAUUUUUUCUAGAGUUUAUCUCCUAAUUUAACUCGGAUAGUCGGAUAUCUAUUUUUUAACAAAGAAAGUAUAGGGAGCUAUGACUUUAAGAUUGUAAAAGUCAUGAGUUAAAUUAUUAGUAAGUACUUUUUCUUUUUUAAAGUAGGGGGAAUGUUAGAAUCUUAAUUCUAUUUGUAGCUUGUUUUUGUACUUACAUAUUACUAACCCUGUAUCUCACUUUAGCAAAGGUUUAGUUCCAGUGAUUGUAUAUACAGUGUUGGGGUAAAGGGACUCCAGAAGGCAGACAAGGCUCGACUCCAGACUCUAGUUGAAGUAACAGAAGAGAGAGGAGUGUCCAGUGUUUAGUUGACUCCAGACUCUAGCGAAGCAGAAGGGAGAGGAGUGACGUUGUCGACUCCAGACUCUAGCGUAGCAGAAGGGAGAGGAGUGACGUUGUUUUAGUGAUCCCACAGAUUCCAGUCGACAGAUACUAUCUGUGUUCUGUGACGUGGAAAGAGUGGGUUUUGUUUUAUAGUUAUCAGUUCCAGUUUUACUUGAAGUCCUCAUCAUUCAGAAGUCCCUCAUAUAGUAAGAAGAACAUCAUCAUCAGGAGUAGUAGUUUUAAUUUAAUAGUAGUUUAAUCUAAUAGUAAAAAAGACAUUGUUUAGUUUAGUAUUGAAAUGUGUUUUAACUAUUAGUCAGAGCAGAGUAGUGUGAGUUACUGAGUCACACCAUAUCAAUCAUUCACUAUUUAAGAGAGUACAUUGUAGAGUAACAAGGUUACUUUUGACACAAGAUUUGUAUAACC